CAUCCUCCAAGGCUAAAUACUCCUGACUGACCGAUAGUGAACCAGUACCGUGAGGGAAAGGCGAAAAGAACCCCGGCGAGGGGAGUGAAAAAGAACCUGAAACCGUGUACGUACAAGCAGUGGGAGCACAGGUUUACCUGUGUGACUGCGUACCUUUUGUAUAAUGGGUCAGCGACUUAUAUUCUGUAGCAAGGUUAACCGAAUAGGGGAGCCGUAGGGAAACCGAGUCUUAAUUGGGCGUUAAGUUGCAGGGUAUAGACCCGAAACCCGGUGAUCUAGCCAUGGGCAGGUUGAAGGUUGGGUAACACUAACUGGAGGACCGAACCGACUAAUGUUGAAAAAUUAGCGGAUGACCUGUGGCUGGGGGUGAAAGGCCAAUCAAACCGGGAGAUAGCUGGUUCUCCCCGAAAGCUAUUUAGGUAGCGCCUCGUGAAUUCAUCUCCGGGGGUAGAGCACUGUUUCGGCUAGGGGGCCAUCCCGGCUUACCAACCCGAUGCAAACUGCGAAUACCGGAGAAUGUUAUCACGGGAGACACACGGCGGGUGCUAACGUCCGUCGUGAAGAGGGAA
RNAcentral lists this ribosomal RNA (569 nucleotides) under Salmonella enterica subsp. enterica serovar Kentucky. RNAcentral's name for it is "partial 23S ribosomal RNA". It matches the Rfam family "Bacterial large subunit ribosomal RNA", at positions 454 to 1021 of the family's 2925-position model. The record is from RNAcentral. Lineage: Bacteria; Pseudomonadati; Pseudomonadota; Gammaproteobacteria; Enterobacterales; Enterobacteriaceae.